RNAcentral lists this ribosomal RNA (292 nucleotides) under uncultured bacterium. RNAcentral's name for it is "partial 16S ribosomal RNA". It matches the Rfam family "Bacterial small subunit ribosomal RNA", at positions 505 to 796 of the family's 1533-position model. The record is from RNAcentral.
GUGCCAGCAGCCGCGGUAAUACGAAGGUGGCAAGCGUUAUCCGGAUUGAUUGGGCGUAAAGCGUCCGCAGAUGGUUUGAUAAGUCGUGGGUCAAAUCUUGAAGCUCAACUUCAAGGCUGCUCACGAAACUAUCAUUCUAGAGACUGGAAGAGGCAAGCGGAAUUACCGGUGUAGCGGUAAAAUGCGUUAAUAUCGGUAAGAACACCAAAAGCGAAAGCAGCUUGCUGGUACAGUUCUGACAUUAAGGGACGAAAGCGUGGGGAGCGAAUGGGAUUAGAUACCCCAGUAGUCC